GUAUGGUGCAAGCGUUAUCCGGAUUUACUGGGUGUAAAGGGAGCGUAGACGGCUGUGUAAGUCUGAAGUGAAAGCCCGGGGCUCAACCCCGGGACUGCUUUGGAAACUAUGCAGCUAGAGUGCCGGAGAGGUAAGUGGAAUUCCCAGUGUAGCGGUGAAAUGCGUAGAUAUUGGGAGGAACACCAGUGGCGAAGGCGGCUUACUGGACGAUGACUGACGUUGAGGCUCGAAAGCGUGGGGAGCAAACAGGAUUAGAUACCCUGGUAGUCCACGCCGUAAACGAUGACUACUAGGUGUCGGGGAGCAAAGCUCUUCGGUACCGCAGCAAACGCAAUAAGUAGUCCACCUGGGGAGUCCGUUCGCAAGAAUG
Molecule: ribosomal RNA, 370 nt
Filed under: uncultured bacterium
Lineage: Bacteria
Description: bacterial SSU rRNA
Rfam family: Bacterial small subunit ribosomal RNA
Source: RNAcentral